GGGCUUUGUUUGCGCAGGAUAGGUGGGAGGCGUUGAAGAUUUUCUUGCGGGGAGAUUGGAGCCGUUGGUGAGAUGCCACUCUAACAAUGCUAGGAUUCUAACCCUAUACCGUUAUCCGGUUAGGGGACAGUUUCAGGUGGUCAGUUUGACUGGGGCGGUCGCCUCCCAAAAGGUAACGGAGGCGUGCAAAGGUUUCCUCAGGCUGGUCGGAAAUCAGUCGUAGAGUGUAAAGGCAUAAGGAAGCUUGAUUGUGAGACCUACAAGUCGAACAAAGACGAAAGUCGGCCUUAGUGAUCCGACGGUUCCGAGUGGAAGGGCCGUCGCUCAACGGAUAAAAGUUACUCUAGGGAUAACAGGCUGAA
This 362-nucleotide ribosomal RNA is filed under the name uncultured eukaryote. RNAcentral describes it as "LSU rRNA". It matches the Rfam family "Bacterial large subunit ribosomal RNA", at positions 2125 to 2486 of the family's 2925-position model. The record is from RNAcentral.